AUGCACGCUGGCGGCGUGCUUAACCCAUGCCAGUCGAACGAUGAAGCCCAGCUUGCUGGGUGGAUUAGUGGCGAACGGGUGAGUAACACGUGAGUAACCUGCCCUUAACUCUGGGAUAAGCCUGGGAAACUGGGUCUAAUACCGGAUAGGAGCGUCCACCGCAUGGUGGGUGUUGGAAAGAUUUAUCGGUUUUGGAUGGACUCGCGGCCUAUCAGCUUGUUGGUGAGGUAAUGGCUCACCAAGGCGACGACGGGUAGCCGGCCUGAGAGGGUGACCGGCCACACUGGGACUGAGACACGGCCCAGACUCCUACGGGAGGCAGCAGUGGGGAAUAUUGCACAAUGGGCGCAAGCCUGAUGCAGCGACGCCGCGUGAGGGAUGACGGCCUUCGGGUUGUAAACCUCUUUCAGUAGGGAAGAAGCGAAAGUGACGGUACCUGCAGAAGAAGCACCGGCUAACUACGUG
RNAcentral lists this ribosomal RNA (465 nucleotides) under uncultured bacterium. RNAcentral describes it as "partial 16S ribosomal RNA". It matches the Rfam family "Bacterial small subunit ribosomal RNA", at positions 29 to 507 of the family's 1533-position model. The record is from RNAcentral.